AUUUUUACUGCCACCAGCUCACGAGAUAAAUAUACCUCCCCCUCCCCCCCAGCUGCCCCGACGAUGAGCCCCUCCUCACCCAGGUUCCUCAGACCAGGCUCUCUAAGGUCUUCCCCUCACACGCCCUCCUGCGCAAGCAAGUUCUGCCUGCAACUAACUUCUAGGCCUCUUGCUUUGGUCCAAAGAACAUUCUGGGCAGGAACCGCAGCCUCUCCACGGAGGGCAGAAGACGGAGCCUGGGAUCAGGACAGUGGCUGUUCAUUCCUGGACUGCAGGAGUCUCCGGCCUGAGGAAGCCCCCAGGGUCCUUAGGACAGACCCCAGCGAAUGAGCCAGUGCGUGGUGGGUCACACACCAGCAAGAGAGCACUCUCUCCCUUGGUGACAGCCGCUGCAGUCCCGAAGCAGGUGAUGGCCGCCCUGUCCGGGCUGACCUCUGGCCCCACAGCUUCUGCCUCGCAGGCCUUUCUUGGACCCACAGAAGAAAAGUCUGGGCCCUUUUACCCAAGAGCUCCCAGAUGCCCAGGAUGACCCCAUCCUCUGUAUUUACUUUCAAAUACUCCAUGCGCUCUGUCCAUCAAGAAUUCUGUUACAGGGGCACCUGGGGGGCUCAGUGGGUUAAAGCCUCUGCCUUCGGCUCAGGUCAUGGUCUCAGGGUCAAGCCCCGC
This 666-nucleotide long non-coding RNA is filed under the name Mustela putorius furo (domestic ferret). RNAcentral's name for it is "lncRNA (ENSMPUG00000024883.1)". The record is from RNAcentral. Lineage: Eukaryota; Metazoa; Chordata; Mammalia; Carnivora; Mustelidae.